This 271-nucleotide long non-coding RNA is filed under the name Hordeum vulgare. Its description in RNAcentral is "long non-coding RNA (HVUL_LNC013354)". Lineage: Eukaryota; Viridiplantae; Streptophyta; Magnoliopsida; Poales; Poaceae. The record is from RNAcentral.
GUGUACCUCCAUGAAUGACGCCCCCAAGAGGGAAACGACACCAGAGCAUCGCCAUCAUCCGAUCUACUGAUCUAGGGUUUCCCCCGGAGGUAGCAAAGAGUGGCCUUGAACUUCUCCUCGGCGAUGCCUUCAGGAAGGAAACGACGUAGACAACGACGCCAUCGCCGGCUUUGGCAGUAGCCGAAAGCAAGCUUUUACCCAGAUCUGUUCGAAGAACCCAUCUCUCCUGCACGGGCCACCACAUCCUGCGACGUCCGCGGGAGUGGGAUCC